This 2154-nucleotide long non-coding RNA is filed under the name Heterocephalus glaber (naked mole-rat). RNAcentral's name for it is "lncRNA (ENSHGLG00000037432.1)". Lineage: Eukaryota; Metazoa; Chordata; Mammalia; Rodentia; Bathyergidae. The record is from RNAcentral.
UCCAGAGCCAACACAGUUCUCUGAUAGUAGCCUUCAUUUCCUCAUCUGGAACCCAGGAUCCCUUUUGGGCUUGGCAUGAAGCCUGAACAAGAUAUCAAUUCAAAUGAGGGCUGCCACCCUGACAAGGCCCUUGGAUAAAAGGCCAGCACACCUGUGUCCUGCUUCUUCCUCUCCAACCUGGAUCAUGCUCCGGCUCCUUCCUGCCCUGGUGCUCCUGGGGGUGCUGGUCACUCCAGAAGGGACCUCCAAGACCUGUCCAGCCUGUGCUUCGCCAGGUCACUGCAGGGACAUCCUCUGUCCUUCAGCCCAGGACUCCUGCCUGCUCAGCCAGAUGCAGCUGGAAAAUGGGACUGUGGUGGACAGCGGAUCAUGUGUGGCCCCUGGGCGGUGCCGGGAAAGCAUCACCACCCUGACCUACGGCCCCAACUCCACGCUCUGGGUCAGCACCGCCUGCUGUGCAAACAGCUGCAGCAUCACUGGGCCACCACAAGAGCCAGGCCCCGAGGCCAACCAUGUGACAUGUCAAUACUGUUCUGGGAAUAAGUCGGCCCCAUGUGACUCCCUUUCGGUCAUGAACUGCACGGGGAACCAGACCAAGUGUGUCACCCUCAACGGGACAUGGAGUGGAGGGAACCCCCAAAUCCUGAAGGGCUGUGCUACACCAGACGUCUGCCACCUGCGAGUGAAUGACACCCUGGGCCCAGAGGCAUCUGGAUUCCGCCUCACCUCACAGCCUGGUUGCAACCCUUCUCCCACACAACCAGGCGCUCUUCUGGAAGGUCCCCAUGCAGCUGUGACCCACACCAGCCCAAAGCCCACCAUCUGUUUCACCUGCUCGGACCUCCAGCACUGCGACCCUCUCCCCUGUCCAGAGGACAGAAACUACUGCCUUCAGACAGCAGGCAUCACCGCCUUUGGGGAUGGGAAUUCCUUCUCCUGGAGAAAUGGUUCCUGCGUGGCCUCUACGGACUGCACAUUGAGCAACUCCAUCUCUGGCUUGACCUAUGGCAUCGGCCUUGGCUUCUGGGUCAACACCACCUGUUGCCAAGGCAACUGCCAGGAGCCCACCCGGCUUGCAACUCUGCCGGCCUCACGCACCUUGACCAAGUUCCUGUGUCCUACGUGCCCCAAGGACCAGUCUGGCUCCUGCCGCUCCUCCUUCUACCUUCAGUGUCCCCGUGGGGAGACCCAGUGUGUCCAGCUGGACCUGACAUUGGAUGAAGGCGGCCAGAACGUGAGCAUGCGCGGCUGCGGCUCCCGAGACCUGUGCAGCUCCCGGGCAGUGACCGAGAAGCUCCGGACUCUUUCGGACCUUUCUGGUCUCCGCCGCCUCCGGCUGUCCCGCCGGCCUAACUGCAACCCCAGCCGCCGCGCUGUCCUGGAGAACCAGUGCCUCUCCAGCGCCGCGGGCGGCCUCCGCCUGGCCCUGCCCCUGCUGGCGGUGGCCCUGGGGGCAGCAAGGCUCUGCUGAGAAUGCCAAGCCCAGACGGAUCCCCCCACCCCACCCCCAGGGCGCGCCUGGGGCCUGGAAACUUCUAUCCACGAAGUCAGGAACCAGGGGUGAGCCUGCUCUCUCAGACUCUGCUUCCCAAAGGCCAAGCCUCAGACUAAGCUUCCCCAAGGCUAUGCCCUCUUCCUCGUAGCAAGGUCCCCAAAAGCUGGACCGCCUGCAUCGGCGCAGAAUCCCCUGCUGUCUUCCCCCCUUUCUAAGGCCACCGGCUCACUCCACGCUGAGGCCAGGCUUCUUCCUGCUCCACUAAAGCUACCCUUGCGUCCUCAGAUAAGGGUACUCAAGGCCGAACCUCCUCACCCUACACCGUUCUGUUCUUCCCAAGAUUGAAAAUGCCCACAUUCGUCUUAAGAUCAGAGAGCCCCAAAAGCUAAGCCUACCUCCUCAAACGAGGGAACCCCCAACGUGAGACUAAGUUCUCUCCAACACUGGGGAAGCAAAAUCCCUCCCUCUUUCUGUUUUCCUCUUCCGGCAAAGUCCUAGAAACCAAGGUGAGGCUGGAGGACCCAAUACACCCACUCCCGAGGCUUUUAGAGCAGCCCAUUCCAGUCUUGACUGGGCCAGGAUGGGCAGAUAGCUGGGUGGGGUGAGGAUCCCCCUCUUGUCGGGUUUUUUUCUCCCAGCAGCAACCAAAUUAAGUGAAU